Molecule: non-coding RNA, 259 nt
Organism: Pelobates cultripes (western spadefoot toad)
Lineage: Eukaryota; Metazoa; Chordata; Amphibia; Anura; Pelobatidae
Source: the annotation of a GenBank genome assembly
CUGGGUGGCUGCAUUUACUAUGGAUGACCACAAGGUGGCGACCAUCUGGUUCGCACGAAUGCAGGCAGCGGUGUUUAGUCAUCGAGUUCAUGGAAAUGAAAAACGGACACAGAAACUCUCAAACACCACUGGACGUCCAGCAUCGCCUGCGUUCGGUUCUACAACCCUUAGGAGGACACUGUUUGGUGGAAACGUUCCCACGAACACGGUAAGAAUAUUAACUAUGUUAGGUAGUUUGUUCGGUUUUAAACAACCGAAC